AUUGAACGCUGGCGGCAGGCCUAACACAUGCAAGUCGAGCGGAUGAAGGGAGCUUGCUCCUGGAUUCAGCGGCGGACGGGUGAGUAAUGCCUAGGAAUCUGCCUGGUAGUGGGGGAUAACGUCCGGAAACGGGCGCUAAUACCGCAUACGUCCUGAUGGAGAAAGUGGGGGAUCUUCGGACCUCACGCUAUCAGAUGAGCCUAGGUCGGAUUAGCUAGUUGGUGGGGUAAAGGCCUACCAAGGCGACGAUCCGUAACUGGUCUGAGAGGAUGAUCAGUCACACUGGAACUGGGACACGGUCCAGACUCCUACGGGAGGCAGCAGUGGGGAAUAUUGGACAGAGGGCGGAAGCCUGAUCCAGCCAUGCCGCGUGUGUGAAGAAGGUCUUCGGAUUGUAAAGCACGUUAAGUUGGGAGGAAGGGCAGUAAGUUAAUACCUUGCUGUUUUGACGUUACCAACAGAAUAAGCACCGGCUAACUUCGUG
Molecule: ribosomal RNA, 484 nt
Filed under: uncultured bacterium
Lineage: Bacteria
Description: partial 16S ribosomal RNA
Rfam family: Bacterial small subunit ribosomal RNA
Source: RNAcentral